UAAUACAUGCAAGUCGAGCGAGCUUGCCUAGAUGAAUUUGGUGCUUGCACCAGAUGAAACUAGAUACAAGCGAGCGGCGGACGGGUGAGUAACACGUGGGUAACCUGCCCAAGAGACUGGGAUAACACCUGGAAACAGAUGCUAAUACCGGAUAACAACACUAGACGCAUGUCUAGAGUUUAAAAGAUGGUUCUGCUAUCACUCUUGGAUGGACCUGCGGUGCAUUAGCUAGUUGGUAAGGUAACGGCUUACCAAGGCAAUGAUGCAUAGCCGAGUUGAGAGACUGAUCGGCCACAUUGGGACUGAGACACGGCCCAAACUCCUACGGGAGGCAGCAGUAGGGAAUCUUCCACAAUGGACGCAAGUCUGAUGGAGCAACGCCGCGUGAGUGAAGAAGGGUUUCGGCUCGUAAAGCUCUGUUGGUAGUGAAGAAAGAUAGAGGUAGUAACUGGCCUUUAUUU
This 461-nucleotide ribosomal RNA is filed under the name Lactobacillus gasseri. RNAcentral describes it as "bacterial SSU rRNA". It matches the Rfam family "Bacterial small subunit ribosomal RNA", at positions 49 to 480 of the family's 1533-position model. The record is from RNAcentral. Lineage: Bacteria; Bacillati; Bacillota; Bacilli; Lactobacillales; Lactobacillaceae.